This 91-nucleotide transfer RNA is filed under the name Pseudomonadota bacterium. RNAcentral describes it as "tRNA-Ser". It matches the Rfam family "tRNA". Rfam says of the family: Transfer RNA (tRNA) molecules are approximately 80 nucleotides in length. RNAcentral also lists the same sequence under 1 other name. The record is from RNAcentral. Lineage: Bacteria; Pseudomonadati; Pseudomonadota.
GGAGAGGUACCGAAGUGGCCAUAACGGGCUCGAUUCGAAAUCGAGUAGAGGAUGAUGAGUCCUCACGUGGGUUCGAAUCCCACCCUCUCCG